UACGUAGGGGGCAAGCGUUGUCCGGAAUCAUGGGGCGUAAAGAGCGUGUAGGCGGCUCGGUAAGUCCGCUGUGAAAGUCCAGGGCUCAACCCUGGAAUGCCGGUGGAAACUGUCGAGCUCGAGUCCGGAAGAGGCGAGUGGAAUUCCUGGUGUAGCGGUGAAAUGCGCAGAUAUCAGGAGGAACACCAAUGGCGAAGGCAGCUCGCUGGGACGGUACUGACGCUGAGACGCGAAAGCGUGGGGAGCAAACAGG
RNAcentral lists this ribosomal RNA (253 nucleotides) under uncultured bacterium. RNAcentral's name for it is "partial 16S ribosomal RNA". It matches the Rfam family "Bacterial small subunit ribosomal RNA", at positions 524 to 776 of the family's 1533-position model. The record is from RNAcentral.